GAUGAACGCUAGCGGCAGGCCUAAUACAUGCAAGUCGAACGGUAAGUAUGAUAGCAAUAUUGUACCAAGAGUGACGUACGGGUGCGUAACACGUACGCAACCUACCCUUUACAGAUGGAUAGCUCGGGGAAACUCGAAUUAACCCGUCAUAAUAUAAUUGAAUGGCAUCAUUUGGUUAUUAAAUCUACGGAGUAAAGGAUGGGCAUGCGUCUGAUUAGUUAG
This 222-nucleotide ribosomal RNA is filed under the name uncultured bacterium. RNAcentral's name for it is "partial 16S ribosomal RNA". It matches the Rfam family "Bacterial small subunit ribosomal RNA", at positions 28 to 248 of the family's 1533-position model. The record is from RNAcentral.